GAGUUUGAUCGUGGCUCAGGACGAACGCUGGCGGCGUGCCUAAUACAUGCAAGUAGAACGCUGAAGGAGGGAGCUUGCUUCUUCUGGAUGAGUUGCGAACGGGUGAGUAACGCGUAGGUAACCUGCCUGAUAGCGGGGGAUAACUAUUGGAAACGAUAGCUAAUACCGCAUAAGAGGUAAUAACACAUGUUAUUGGUUUAAAAGGGGCAACUGCUCCACUAUCAGAUGGACCUGCGUUGUAUUAGCUAGUUGGUAAGGUAACGGCUUACCAAGGCGACGAUACAUAGCCGACCUGAGAGGGUGAUCGGCCACACUGGGACUGAGACACGGCCCAGACUCCUACGGGAGGCAGCAGUAGGGAAUCUUCGGCAAUGGGGGCAACCCUGACCGAGCAACGCCGCGUGAGUGAAG
RNAcentral lists this ribosomal RNA (411 nucleotides) under uncultured bacterium. Its description in RNAcentral is "bacterial SSU rRNA". It matches the Rfam family "Bacterial small subunit ribosomal RNA", at positions 9 to 410 of the family's 1533-position model. The record is from RNAcentral.